Molecule: ribosomal RNA, 459 nt
Filed under: uncultured bacterium
Lineage: Bacteria
Description: partial 16S ribosomal RNA
Rfam family: Bacterial small subunit ribosomal RNA
Source: RNAcentral
CCUACGGGUGGCAGCAGUGAGGAAUAUUGGUCAAUGGCCGGAAGCCUGAACCAGCCAAGUAGCGUGCGGGAUGAAGGCCCCACGGGUCGUAAACCGCUUUUGCACGGGGAUAACACCCUCCACUUGUGGAGGUCUGCAGGUACCGUGCGAAUAAGGGCCGGCUAAUUCCGUGCCAGCAGCCGCGGUAAUACGGAAGACCCGAGCGUUAUCCGGAUUCAUUGGGCUUAAAGGGAGCGUAGGCGGGCGUUCAAGUCAGCUGUAAAAUCGCGCGGCUCAACCGCGCCCCGCAGUUGAAACUGGGUGCCGUGAGAUCACAACAGGCAGGCGGAAUGCGCAGUGUAGCGGUGAAAGGCAUAGAUAUCGCGAGGAACCCCGAUUGCGAAGGCAGCCUGCCGGGGUGCGUCUGACGCUGAGGCUCGAAGGUGCGGGUAUCGAACAGGAUUAGAUACCCGGGUAGUC